This is a long non-coding RNA of Cygnus olor (mute swan), 3944 nucleotides long. RefSeq lists it as uncharacterized. The record is from RefSeq and is a predicted model, not a curated record. The transcript is spliced from 3 exons. Lineage: Eukaryota; Metazoa; Chordata; Aves; Anseriformes; Anatidae.
CGGGAGGGUGUUCGCCAUUUUGUGUGGCGGAGGGGAAGCCCGCCGCCCAGCACGGUGCGGGGUGCUGCUCCUGUGGAGGGGGUUGAGGGAGUUUUCUGGGAGUUUCCAUUUCCUUGGAGUCUGGUUGGGGUGCGCAAUGUUGUCCAGAAUGGCUGAACCACUAAGAUUGGCUGUGGUUAGCGCAGGAGACAGCUACAUCAUAGCUUCCUUGCAUCCGCACCUGAAAUCUCUCUUCAUGAUGUGUCCGUAAAUCAUCUCCCCCUCUCCAUCUCCUGGCUUCGCUCCUAUCGCAAGGUCUCUGCAUUCACCAGGCUGAAUUUCCCCACUUCUGAUGUGUUCCUUUCCUUCUUCAGCAUUAUUGGCUCAACUGUCUACUGUCCCGAGCUAAAUUAGACGUACAGUUGCAACCACAGCCAUGUUUUUGCGGCCGCAGUCUUUCAAGUUCUUGCUUCUGCUCUCACUUAGAUUUUUACCUAGAAUUUCACCAUCUAUAAUGGUCGGUGUUAUCUCAUGAGAAAAUCAAGUUCUCUCUCCCUCUGGCUUUAUCUUUCCUGUCUUGAGCAGCUGGAACAACUCUUUCAUCCACCCCUGCCAAAAACCGUAGGGUUUCUUGUCUGAGCUCAAGGCACUGAUGAUUCCUUCUUAACUAAGUGUGAGAGCAUUUCCCUCCUUGACCUGCCAGCCAGUUUCAACCCGGGUUGCCUACACAGGAAAGAAACCAAAAACAUAUUUCUAUGUUUACAUGUGUGCGUUUUCUGGGUAUGAAUUCUACGUCUCGAUUUUUAUAUCAGUCUUGGAAGGGGGUGCAGAGGUUGCCCAGAGGGUUGUGAGGUCUCCAUCCUUGGAAGGUUUUCAAGAUCAGACUGGUUACAACUUUGCUAGUAAGAGUAAUCUGCUCGGACCUCAUAGUCAACCUUUGUGUCCCAAUGUGAAUUAUUUUGAUCCAUGUAGCAGGUGCCAGGCAGAACCCUAUCCUGAAGAGUGAAAGGCUGGGAUGAUAAGACGCAGUGUAUCACCUGGGAACACCAGACAUAGCUAUGGAGUGUUUUUCUCCUGUUCUUGAAAUUCAAUCGUCUGUCAGGAUCAGAAGCAAAACAGAAAAUGGGUGAGCAGCCAAAACUACUUCGUAGACCUCUGCCUCCUAAGCUGCCAUCUAAACUAUCUACACCAAGGGAGAAGGUUGGUAAAGGCAAGGUUUCUGGACAAUACCUAAGUAGAGUGAUGAAGAGUACAAAUGAUGAAAAUAGAAAAGCAGUGUCUGGAGGUUAUGUCAGUGCUCAAGGGCAAGUCAAGCAGACGGAUGCUUCCCUCAGCCAUGGUCAGAUUUCCCAGAGUCUGCUGCAAAUCCAACCCAAAGAUACAUUUCUGUCUGUUCAUCAGAUUUGUCAUGAUCAAACACAAGUCCAACACGAAGACCUCCUUCUUCAAAUUCAGUUCCUACUUGGCAGUACCCAACCCCAGUCUGAACACAUUUCUUCUUGCCCAAUACAUUUCCAACGCAGACAUGUUUAAGCAAGAUAAUAACCAUGAGCAAAUAGAGAUCCAGCCCAAAACUACAGGUUUGCAUGACCAAAGGAAAUUCCAUGACCAAUAUGAAAUUAUUCCUGUCUAUGCAAGCAGCCAAAUGCCAAACCAAAGUGAAGAGGAAAACGUCCUUUCUGUCCAAACUCCUAGAAGCAAUUUUAUUACUACUAAAAAUCUCAGUGUGCCUGAUAACUGUAUUUUGCAAAAAUCGUAAAUCCUCUCGUGUGAAGCACCAAGAAUUACAGCGCACUGGCCCCAACCAUUUCACUCUUGUAUUUACACAGGAAAAUCUAGCUGCAGGUUCAUCCUUUCACCAUCUGCCUUUGAAGACGACACUCAAAAAGCCACUUGUUUCCCACUACAACUGCAAAGUCCUCAGUAGCAAGUUAAUGACUGAAAACAGGAGCUUGCAGACUGAAGUUAACACAGUGAUGUUAUCUGAUAUCGAUUUACCAGUAGUUGAAACAAGAAAGCCUGAGCAACAGAAAUUCUUAGGCAAUUGAUAGUAAAUAUCGUAGUAUUUUUUUGUUGGUACAGUGUUUUAUUGUAAGAUUUUCCUAAGCAUCUCUUGCAGGGAGAAAAUCAAACAAACAACAAAAAACAAACAACAACAACAACAAAAAAGCCAACGACAAAAAAACACCUUCAUUUAUGUGUGGGUUUUUAUUUGUGUGGGUCUUUGAAUUUGCCCUCAUUAGUUGAGAAAUAGUCAAUGGAGAAUUACAGCUUGUGCUAACUAAAUUAAAUGUUGUGUUUUCAGAUAACAGCAAAUGAUGAUUUAAAUGUAAACGUGUAUGUUUAUUUUAACUGAUGAUAAAAGGGGACUGUGAAAAGUCCCAUGCUGUAAAUCUUUGAAAAUACAUACAGAGAGAAUGAGCUGAUGUUGAGUUUCUGUACACCGAGGCUUCCUACGCACAGAGCAUUGAGUGAUCUUGGUGUAUUGGGCUGCUGCUCCAGCCACGUUAAGCAGGUUUAAAUGUUAAGCAGGUCUCAUGUUGAGCAGGUUUAAAAAUAAAUAGUCAUCUUGUUUCUUCCUCUUCACAACCAUUUACCAUCUACGUCUACAACUGUACUGAAACUAGUGUUUGUGUGGCCAUGCUACAGACGAAAUCAAGAAAUUUAUCCAGAUUGUUUAAAAAGCUUUGUUUUCGUGGGAUUUUCUUCAGGACAGACCAGUGUCCUCCUGUGUCCUACAUUAGGGAUCUCCCACAAAUGGUUGGGCUGAUACAAGCUGUGAGAGAAGUAUGAGACAGUGGAAGGAACAAGCAAUGGGGAAUUCCGUAGGCUGGUGUUGCUGCCAGUCACAUCGUAGCAUGAAACCUCAGCACUAGAGACCGUGCCUGAGCUGGAGGAAGAGAGGUGAACGCCUCAGAGGGCAAACACAGUCCUGCCUUCCCAGGGGACUACGUGUAGUACACCCCAGGUUUGUCAGUGCUUCUGAACCAGGUUUCCUUCCAGCAGAAACAGCGCAGUGAUAGUAGAGAAAGGUUUCCCAUGGGUUCCGUCUUGAGAUGUGUUGAUGGUAAAGCUGGGUUGCGCAACUGGAUGUAGAGGCAUGGAGGUGCUGCCACAAGCUGACAUUUUAUAAUUACCUCGCAUGAGAGGUGUCUGGCUCUCUGGAAGCCAACUCUCAAAUGUAGAAUUCCUGGGUACCGGUUUUCCACUCCUGAGUAGUGAGUAGCUCUGUUCCAUGGGAAGAAGGGUUUGCCUCAUCCUUCUACUGUGGUGGUCUAGGAGCAGGUUUACAGUUAUUUCUGUACUUCCACUAUGAAUCAUUCACACAGUGGAAAUGGUGUUUUGGUGUGUGGUAAUAAAGUGAAAACACGGUCUCAAGUAAUCGUCCCAUUUGGGGUUUGCAUGUGCUUUGGUAUAGGGGAAGUGAUUCUCAUUGCUGAUGGGUCCUGUCACACAGGUUGCAUGGACACAACUUCAAGAGGGCAUCUAUUCCACUGGCAGGAGCCCUGUUCACCAUGUGCAGAGUUUGAGAAAUGUACAUUUUGGAAGAAAAAAGUGGCAAUCCAAUUUUUCUGAUGAGAUGCAGCGACACCUGACUGUAGCAUUCAUGUUCCUAUUUGUAUCCAGUCUGUGCAAACUUGUGAAAGGAUAAAAGCAGCAUUUUGUGGUUGUCACAGGCUUUUCUUCAGAUUAAAUGGUCUGAGCACACCACUCGUCCAAACUCUAGAUGAGCGGGAAUACAGGUGCUGUGUCACUAGGGACUAGACAAGUAGUUUUGAGGAAGUGGAUGGUAACACACGAAGGUAUCACUUCACUGAAAAGGUGUUUUGUUAGAAGGGUACUUUGGUGUGUUUCUUUUCAGCUGCAUUGGAAAGAAGAAAAGUAUAAUAAAUCCAAAGUAUUUUUUGGGGCCUUGUCUCAGCCUCUCCAGUCCCUUUGAAGAAGGUCAUCAGAGCUGGGAAUAG